CUAUUUAGUCAACUUAAUGAAGAAAUUUUUAAAAUUACCAACAGUUUUUGCUGCAAUCACGUCCCCAGCAUAAACACACACAUACGCUCUUUCUCUCUAAAAAAGCAAGAAAUAAUAAUAAUAAAAGAUAAAAAGAGAAUGUGAGAAAAUGAUGAGACCAUAGCCAAAAAAAAAAAAGAGAGAUAGCAAAAAAGAAAGCACAGAGGAAGUGAAUCGAAGGCUUAAACUUAAGCUUAAAAGAUGCUGAGAUUUACUCUUUUAUGGCUUCUCGUUUUCUUUUUAUCUCUUGUUUCAUCUUCAGCUCGGCCCGCACCUUUUGCUAUGCGCAUAAGCUGUGGGGCUCGUCAAAAUGUCCGAACAGCACCAACAUAUGCACUUUGGUAUAAAGAUUUUGGGUAUACAGGUGGAAUUCCAGCUAAUGCAACAACUCCAAGUUUCAUUACUCCUCCUCUAAAAACACUCCGAUAUUUCCCUCUAUCUGAAGGUCCGGAAAAUUGCUACGGGAUUAAUAGAGUACCGAAGGGACACUAUACUGUGAGGAUUUUCUUUGGAUUAAUUAAACAGCCUGAUUUUGACAAUGAACCUCUAUUUGAGAUAUCUGUUGAAGGCACCUUGAUUCAUUCACUGAAGUCAGGCUGGACUAGCCAUGAUGACCAGGUGUUUGCUGAAUCCCUUGUGUUUCUUUUAGAUGGCACAGUAUCUAUUUGUUUCCAUAGCACUGGUCAUGGAGAUCCAGCAAUUAUUUCUAUUGAAAUUCUUCAAGUUGAUGAUAAAGCAUACUAUUCUGGUCCAGAGAGGGGCAAAGGUGUUAUCCUGAAAACAACUUCAAGACUGACUUGUGGCACAUCAAAGCCAAGAUUUGAUGAGGACUAUAGUGGGGAUCAUUGGGGAGGAGAUAGAUAUUGGGAACCCAUCAGAACUUUUGGGCAAAAUGCUGACGAGCCGAGAUCUACUGAAAAUAGCAUUAAACAAGCUUCAGAUGCACCAAACUUCUAUCCAGAAGCCCUUUAUCAAAGUGCAGUUGUUAGUACUGAUAGCCAGCCAGAUCUAGCUUAUACAAUAGAUGUGGAUCCCAAUAAGAACUACUCCAUAUGGUUACACUUUGCAGAGAUUGAUGCUUUAGUCACAGAUGCUGGGCAAAGGGUGUUUGAUGUUCUGCUUAAUGGUGACACUAUAUUUAAAGAGAUAGAUAUUGUGAAGAUGAGUGGUGACCGGUAUACUGCACUAGUGCUUAAUAGAACUGUUGCUGUUAGUGGUAGGACAGUGACAAUAACCCUUCAUCCUAAAGAAGGCCACCAUGCUAUCAUUAAUGCCAUUGAAAUCUUUCAAGUAAUAGCUGCUGAGUCCAAAACUUCAUCAGCAGAAGUUAGGGCUUUACAGGCAUUGAAGAGAUCACUGGGGCUUCCAAAUCGUUUUGCGUGGAAUGGAGACCCAUGUGUUCCCAAGGAGCAUCCAUGGAGUGGAGCUGAUUGUCAAUUUGAUAAAUCUGGCAGGAAGUGGUUCAUUGAUGGCCUUGAUCUUUCCAACCAAGGUCUUAAGGGGUUCUUGCCUGAUGACAUUUCCAAACUAAUUCAUCUACAGAGCUUAAACUUGAGUGGAAACACAAUUCACGGGGUCAUUCCAUCAUCACUUGGAACUAUAACCAGCUUAGAAUUGCUGGACCUCUCCUACAAUUUCCUCAAUGGAUCAAUUCCUGAAAGCCUAGGGAACUUGACCGCAUUGCGCAGAUUGAAUCUUAAUGGCAACUCUUUGUCUGGAAGAGUCCCAGGUGCACUUGGAGGAAGGCUUUUGAAUGGAGCUAGCUUUAAUUUUACUGACAAUGCUGGUCUCUGCGGCAUACCCGGAUUACCUACAUGUGGACCCCACCUCUCUGCCGGAGCAAAGGUCGGCAUUGCCUUCGGUGUAUCUCUAUCAUUUUUACUUGUUGUUAUCUGUUCAGUUUGUUAUUGGAAAAGACGGCAGAACAUUCUUCGAGCACAGCAGAUAGCAGCAAGAGGUGCUCCGUAUGCAAAAGCAAGAACCCAAUUCUCUCACGAUAUCCAAAUGUCAAGGCACCAUAAUCAUGGCCAUACUCGGACAGCUGCUGAGAAUGGACCAAGCUUGCUAUCGUGAUUAAAAUCAUAGCCCCUGUAGAAUCACUUCGAAAAGGUCUGAUACCCCAACAGUCACAAAAAAAAGGCAGCAAAACUGAAGUACAUUAUCUUCUGUGAUGUGUGAAUUUUGAAAGGAAAAUCAUUGUCUACUCGCUCGGGACGUGGCAAAGUGGGAACACAACGAACACCUAAUUCUCAUGCAGGUUAGAGGUCUGACAUUGUGAUUUCCAGGCAGCGAAUCCAUUCACUAAGUCCAAACAAAUAAGGCGCCGCUGAAUACCCGUACAGAAGAAAAAAGAAUAGGGCAUACGUAAGCACCGGCGCUGAGUUCACUCACUUGACAGACACACCUCCCCUCUGCUCCUCACGUCUAAUCAGGCGGCGGCUCUCUCUUUUCUUUAUUUAAAUAUAUACUUAUUUUAUAAUGGGUUAAAUGUCUUGGUUAGUCCUUGAGCUUUCAUCUAAUGGGCAAUGUGAUAUUUAUAUAAAGAAAAGGUCUAAUUUGAUACAAAACUUUAAAUUAAUGAUUGGUGUUGGGAUUUGAAUUUAAUUUGUAUAGUUUUUAUUAAAUUAUCAUUUAUGUUAAGUAAUAAAUAAAAUUUUUAAAAUUAUAUUAAAAAUAUUAUAUCAAUCAUAUAAUGAGACAUGACAUUCAUUUAUACGUCUUUGUGAAGUCAUCGCGAAAUUAGAUGAUGUUAAAGCUUUGGGGUACGUUGGUACAUAAUAGAAUAGUAAGAUUUCUAAAAUUAGAUUAAUGAUCGAAUCAGUUAGGUUAUCGACUAAGUCACAAGUCAACAGAUCUUAAUCACACCGAUGCUCCAAACCAAUUUAAUCCAAUUCAAACAACAUUCCGGAAUAGUAUAGAUACCAAAUUGAAUAUUUUGAUUAUACAAAUACUGGAUUAGAUAUUAAAUUAAAGUUGAGGGGCUAACUAUGGAAUUAGCAUUUAACAUUUAAAUUUGCAGUAAUGGGUAUAGGAGAGACCGUAGUGGGUCACUUCUUUUUAACUACAAACAGACGCACACAAAGUCCCCUCCGGUCUUCCUUUUCAUAUCAUAUUUACUUUUUCUUUUUCUUUUUUCUUUAUAUUUUCUCUUCCACUAAUACUAAUAACCCCAAAAGCUAAAACCUUUCAGCUUCUCUUUCAUGGCGUCCUCAAGGGAAGGUCACUACAGAGGUGUAAGGAAGAGACCGUGGGGGAGAUACGCAGCUGAAAUACGUGAUCCAUGGAAGAAAACGAGGGUUUGGUUAGGUACAUUCGACACACCCGAAGAAGCUGCACUCGCUUACGACGGAGCAGCUAGGUCCCUCCGUGGUGCCAAAGCUAAAACCAACUUCCCCACACCGUCUUCCUCUUCUUCUCCGCCGCCGGCUCUUUCUCUUGAUCUCAAUCUCGCUUCUCAUAAUCCCCAUCGUUGGGCUUUAGCUUCACCUCAUCACCAUCACCGUUUUGCCGCCGUGGGUGAUUUCCUUCAUGCUGGUGGUAUUAAAGAUAUGAACUUUGGUCCCGACCCAUCGUCUUCGACGAGACCCAAUGUCCUCUCCGUUUCCACUUCCCCUCCGGUGACCGCAAAUGGUAACACGGCGUCGUUUCUUGGGAUUGUUCGACGUGGUUUGCCUAUAGAUUUGAAUGAGCCACCUCCACUGUGGCUGUGAAUGUGGUUUUUCUUCUCUAGGCAUUUUGCAGGCGCCCUUUUUAAUCUUUUAACCCUUCCUUAGGCAUCUUUGCUACUUCUGUUUAGUAAUUAUUCUGUAUUUUGAGAACUAGGAAUCAUAAAAAAAAAAAACAUAUUAAAAACUGAGGACCUUUUGUGUAAA
Gossypium arboreum is the source of this 3911-nucleotide RNA transcript. It is a transcript of the gene named receptor-like protein 4, with no coding region annotated. The record is from RefSeq and is a predicted model, not a curated record. NCBI's taxonomy places the organism in Eukaryota, Viridiplantae, Streptophyta, Magnoliopsida, Malvales, Malvaceae. The transcript is spliced from 12 exons.